UACGGAGGGUGCGAACGUUAAUCGGAAUCACUGGGCGUAAAGCGCGCGUAGGCGGUCUGUUAAGUGGGAUGUGAAAUCCCCGGGCUUAACCUGGGAAUUGCAUUUCAAACUGGCCGACUAGAGUACGGUAGAGGGAGGUAGAAUUUCCUGUGUAGCGGUGAAAUGCGUAGAUAUAGGAAGGAAUACCAGUGGCGAAGGCGGGUCUCUGGACAGUUCCUGACGCUGAGGCACGAAGGCCAGGGGAGCAAACGGG
Molecule: ribosomal RNA, 253 nt
Filed under: uncultured bacterium
Lineage: Bacteria
Description: partial 16S ribosomal RNA
Rfam family: Bacterial small subunit ribosomal RNA
Source: RNAcentral